Molecule: unclassified non-coding RNA, 1555 nt
Filed under: uncultured fungus
Lineage: Eukaryota; Fungi
Description: sequence contains 18S rRNA gene, ITS1, 5.8S rRNA gene, ITS2, 28S rRNA gene
Source: RNAcentral
UCCGUAGGUGAAGAACGUACUCAGCGUGACGAGCUCACCAGUGCCAAUCGUGUUUCCCGUCAGGUGGAACUGCGCCGGGCCGUUGAAUUCGAAGUACUUGUCGAGCUCCCCAAGAAACGUCUGCUCGACGUCGACGCCGAACGAGUAGGGCUGCGGGAUCGGGACAAAGCCCGCCAACACCAGGUUUUGCGGAGCAAACACCUGCACCCGCAGCACGCCAGUAAUCUCGAUGCUGAUGCUGUAGAGCGUGCCGAGCGCCGGGUCGAACGGCGUCACCCCAAACGACCCGAACAUGCCGCUCGGCCCGGCCGAGAAGGUCUCGGCAACGACGAACGGAAGGGCUGCGGCCGGCCGCGUUGCCGCAGCGAACGCGGCCAGACAAAAGAACGAGAUGACGCAGAGUCGUCGCACUUGAACACCUCGUUGCAUGGGACCGGCAAGUGCAAGAGUCCUGCCGAGUGUGCGCACUCCUUUCGCCGAACACUCCGUAAUCGUCGACCGUGUAAGUCAACUUCGGUUGCGACUUCGAUCUGCUCUGGAGGAGUUUUCACUCACCGCCUGGGCCGUUCUCCCACCGAGCAAGUCGGACACCAGGAACAGCUGCGCGACUUCGACGAGUGCUCAAUCGUUGGCCCGCCGGCGUGCAUAAUGUCAGUCUCAUCCUGAUCAGGAGGCGAACAUGCGGACCAUCAGGGCUCGAAGGCCUCUUGCGUUCGUGGCCGUCCUUGGGGUGAGCGGAGCCGUGUCCGCCUUUCCGGUCACGGUUGGGGUCUUCCCAACCGCCACGGCCGAGCAGGAACGGCGCGCCCAUCUCGAGUGGAUGCUCGCGUCGCUGCCCAAUGCGGCCCAAUUCAACGAAUGGCAGCAACGGACCGGCGAGCUCCCACCCGAUUUCGACGCGUUCCCGCGCAACAACUUCCUGCCGGAUCCGUUCACGUUCAUGAACGGCCGGGCCGUCCGGAACGCCUCGGACUGGACCGCGCGUCGCACCGAGAUCAGACAGCUCCUGGAGAAGUGGGACAUCGGCAGCGUGCCGUCAAAGGCGACGACGUUCAAGACGACGGUGCAGAGCGAAACCCCGGGCAGCGGCUACAUCACGCGCGUGGUGGCGAUCGAGUACGGUCCACGCGCCGACACAACGACGACGGUGAACGUGACGCUCACGAUCCCUCGGGGCAAUGGGCCCUUCCCGGUGAUGAUCGGCGGCGCGGCGUCGUCGCUCGUCCGCCGCGGCUACAUCGCGUGCAGCUACUCCGGCUCGGUGGAUGCGCCCGGCACCGUCGCCCAGUUGUAUCCCGAGCACGACUUUGCCUCGAUGGCGCAGGUCGCGUUCACGAUCCAGACCGUCGUCGACCACCUGCUGACCGUGCCGCAGGUCGACAAGGCCCGCAUCGCCAUCACCGGCUACUCGCGUGCGGGCAAGAUGGCCCUCAUCGCGGCCGCGCUCGAUGAGCGCAUCGCGGCGGUGGUCGCGGGCAGCACCGGGGUCGGCGGCGUCACGCCCUGGCGCCUCAGCGGUGAGUACGGGAUGGGUGAAGGCGUCGAGUCCACCACG